GGUCAACCAAUGCAAUUGACUCCUCAGCAGAUUCAACAGAUGAUGAUGAUGAAGGCUGCUGCUGCUCAUGGUGGUGGUGGUAACGGUCAGAUGAAAAUGCCUCCUGUUGCAGCUAAGGACCAGAAGAAGUCUGUUAAGUUUGCGGAAGAUGAUGACGAUGAGUUUAGUGAGGAUGAUUAUGAUGACGAGGACUUCAGUGAGGAUGAUUAUGAUGAUGAUGAGUUCGAUGAUGAUGAAGAUGACGAUGAGGAGAUGGGAGGACAUGGAGGAGGUAAUCACAUGCCUCCUAAUAAGAUGAUGAUGCCUAACAAAUUGCCUCAGAUGGGUGGUGGUGCUGGACCCAAGGGGC
Molecule: long non-coding RNA, 349 nt
Filed under: Capsella grandiflora
Lineage: Eukaryota; Viridiplantae; Streptophyta; Magnoliopsida; Brassicales; Brassicaceae
Description: long non-coding RNA (CGRA_LNC000697)
Source: RNAcentral